CAUCCGGUUGAUCCUGCCGGAGUACUACGCUACCCCCAAGGACAAAAGCCAUGCAAGCGGACACGAGGUAUGAAGUGGCGGACGGCUCGGUACAACGGUACGAGUCUGACCGGGGGUGAAGGCUAGACGGAUACCGCUGGCAACCCAGCGCCAAGACGAGUGCUCAAGAGCGGGGAAGGAAAAGCACGCGAUGGAGCGA
This 199-nucleotide ribosomal RNA is filed under the name Giardia muris. RNAcentral describes it as "Eukaryotic small subunit ribosomal RNA". It matches the Rfam family "Eukaryotic small subunit ribosomal RNA", at positions 1 to 214 of the family's 1831-position model. The record is from Rfam by way of RNAcentral. Lineage: Eukaryota; Fornicata; Diplomonadida; Hexamitidae.